AGCUCACACAGAUCUCUCCCUCCAGAUUUCCUGAUCCUAGGCCAGGUCAGUAUUCAGUACACCCCAGUCAUUAUGCUGGAAGCUUAAAGGAGUGAGCAACUAAUGCAAGUUCCAGCUGGUUCUCACAGCUUAGCCUCACUGGUUCCAAUGUAUCUUUGCUUCCCCCAGUUUGUGUCUAUCUUCUCUUCCCAAGUGCUUGCCAUGUGAACUUUGGCUUCAGAACCAGAUGCACAAACAAAAGUAUGUAACCAACUAUCAGUCCUAUGUAAUAACCUGAAGUUACUGGAGUUUUGUUUUUCUCCUUUGGACACAAUGUCCUGGAGAUGUCUCCCAGCAUUUACUACUACCUGGGACCUCCUGUCUUUACAAACUCCUUUAAGAAGAUGUUUCCUCAUGCCUCGCUUACUUAGACGGUCAGCUCAAAUACUGGCAGAUUGAAACAUUUCCAUUGACUACAGGAUCAAAAGUCAACAAGAGAGCUAGAUAGCCAAGGCCAUGCUGAAGUCUCAUUCUUUCUCCUGUGAAAAUGUCAAUGUCCCCUAGAGGUAUAG
This 551-nucleotide long non-coding RNA is filed under the name Marmota monax (woodchuck). The record is from RNAcentral. Lineage: Eukaryota; Metazoa; Chordata; Mammalia; Rodentia; Sciuridae.